This 75-nucleotide transfer RNA is filed under the name Marmota monax (woodchuck). Its description in RNAcentral is "tRNA.Ala". Lineage: Eukaryota; Metazoa; Chordata; Mammalia; Rodentia; Sciuridae. The record is from RNAcentral.
GUUUAUGGCUCAUUGGUAGAGCGUUCGCCUAGCACGUGUGAAGCACUGGGUUCAAUCCUCAGCACCACAUAAACA